UGGCAGACGGCUGAGUAACGCGUGGGUGACGUACCUGUUGGUGGGGAAUAACUGCCCGAAAGGGUGGCUAAUUCCGCAUAAGUCCUUCGGUUCAAUCCGAAGGGGAAAGCCGCAAGGCGCCGAUGGAGCGGCCCGCGUCCGAUUAGCUGGUUGGUGGGGUAACGGCCUACCAAGGCGACGAUCGGUAGCUGGUCUUAGAGGAUGAUCAGCCAGACUGGGACUGAGACACGGCCCAG
This 236-nucleotide ribosomal RNA is filed under the name uncultured bacterium. RNAcentral's name for it is "partial 16S ribosomal RNA". It matches the Rfam family "Bacterial small subunit ribosomal RNA", at positions 96 to 334 of the family's 1533-position model. The record is from RNAcentral.